GGUCUACCCGUUUACGCUAGGAGGUUUUCUCGGCGCAAACCACGACUUGCGAGGGCUCCUCACCGCAGUGUGCAAUUUAUUCUGGUCUGUGCACUGCGACAUUGGCUUUCUGCUUACCGGCAUGGUCAGCCCCGAGCAGUUAAAUAAGACACGAAUUCCUGUGAUCGUGGGCCAUAGUCCGAUUGGCACGAGCGUUCAAAAUCUUCUUCAUUUUUACCAGAUCUACAAAGCAAAAAACCUUAUCAUGUACGACCAUGGCGAAGCGGAGAACCGUAGAAGAUACGGCCAGGUAACUCCACCAGCCUACCCCCUGGAACGCAUUCACUACCGAUAGCCAUGUUCUCGUCUCAAGGCGAUAUACUGUCCAACACAGCAGACGUGGCGGACCUGGCUUACACACUCGGUUCCCGCGUCGUCUUUAGCCGAGUCGUUCCUAAUCCAAGUUUUAGCCAUUUAGACUUUCUAAACAGCUACCGAGCGAACGAUUUUCUCCACAACACCGCAAUAGAACUAGCCAAAAGUACUCUUCGCAAAACCCGUGAUGCUUUGUCACAGACGGCUGUCCUUUGUUCACGCUCUUAAAAUACUUCGAUCUUUGCUGCAUUCAGGUCUGCUCCAGGCAGAAACAAAGUGCCAAGCUAAAGUGAUGUUACCCCGGAGAAGAAUUCAAGGAAAAUUGUUUACAGAAGCGUUAUGCAUACCUUAAUCAUUUCAUUAUUAGUGAGAGCAGUUAAAACAUAAAAUGAUCAUCGUUAUUUCUGAUUAUUCAAGAAUAAACAGCCUGAACAGGUGGUGGCCGUUAUUAAUCAA
Long non-coding RNA from Rhipicephalus microplus (southern cattle tick), 810 nucleotides. The record is from RefSeq and is a predicted model, not a curated record. Lineage: Eukaryota; Metazoa; Arthropoda; Arachnida; Ixodida; Ixodidae.